AGUGAACGCUGGCGGUAGGCCUAACACAUGCAAGUCGAACGGCAGCACAGUAAGAGCUUGCUCUUACGGGUGGCGAGUGGCGGACGGGUGAGGAAUACAUCGGAAUCUACUUUUUCUUGGGGGAUAACGUAGGGAAACUUACGCUAAUACCGCAUACGACCUACGGGUGAAAGCAGGGGAUCUUCGUACCUUGCGCGAUUGAAUGAGCCGAUGUCGUAUUAGCUAGUUGGAGGGGUAAAGGCCCACCAUGGCGACGAUCCGUAGCUGGUCUGAGAGGAUGAUCAGCCACACUGGAACUGAGACACGGUCCAGACUCCUACGGGAGGCAGCAGUGGGGAAUAUUGGACAAUGGGCGCAAGCCUGAUCCAGCCAUACCGCGUGGGUGAAGAAGGCCUUCGGGUUGUAAAGCCCUUUUGUUGGGGAAGAAAAGCAGCAGGUUAAUACCCCGCUGUUCUGACGGUACCCAAAGAAUAAGCACCGGCUAACUUCGUG
This 492-nucleotide ribosomal RNA is filed under the name uncultured bacterium. RNAcentral describes it as "partial 16S ribosomal RNA". It matches the Rfam family "Bacterial small subunit ribosomal RNA", at positions 29 to 507 of the family's 1533-position model. The record is from RNAcentral.